ACAGCCAGGCACAACGCUGGACAGCCUAUCCAUCUCCAGUCACAGGUCAUCGUCUAGGACGACAGCCAGGCACAACGCUGGACAGCCUAUCCAUCUCCAGUCACAGGUCAUCGUCUAGGACGACAGCCAGGCACAACGCUGGACAGCCUAUCCAUCUCCAGUCACAGGUCAUCGUCUAGGACGACAGCCAGGCACAACGCUGGACAGCCUAUCCAUCUCCAGUCACAGGUCAUCGUCUAGGACGACAGCCAGGCACAACGCUGGACAGCCUAUCCAUCUCCAGUCACAGGUCAUCGUCUAGGACGACAGCCAGGCACAACGCUGGACAGCCUAUCCAUCUCCAGUCACAGGUCAUCGUUUAGGACGACAGCCAGGCACAACGCUG
This is a long non-coding RNA of Oncorhynchus keta (chum salmon), 385 nucleotides long. RefSeq lists it as uncharacterized. The transcript has 3 exons. The record is from RefSeq and is a predicted model, not a curated record. Lineage: Eukaryota; Metazoa; Chordata; Actinopteri; Salmoniformes; Salmonidae.